CAGUUGGUGUUAACUUGGUCUCUGUUCAUCGAGUGGGGCCGAUGUAGAUGGGAUGGAAGAGGGAGGAAGGGAUGAGUGCAAGAUUCCAAGCACCAAUAGUGCUGUGUGUAGUGAUAGUUCUUGUUUGGCUUCAUUAGUUUGCAGAGGAAUUGUCUAGGAGACUUAGCUGGAUGAGACUAUAUCAGAAGUGGAUCUGAGCAGCUUGGGCAUCCUUCUAAAGAGAUGUGAAUAAUUCUCAUGUUUCUGACUGGUACCAAGGGAAAAGAAGUCAAGAGUCAGUCUACUGCCGUGACAUGGUGAAAAAACACUGGCACGUGUGUAUUGCAUGUCUCGUGAGCCAGGGAGUAGUAGGAGGGGACGAAAAUCAUGGAGGGCUGUCGGUGCGAGUGGAGCGGUGACUGUCACUGUUAACUUGGUCUCAUCGUGGGGGGCCGAUGAAGGUAGGAUGGAAGAGGGAGGCAGGGAUGAGGGCAAGAGCUCUGUGUAAUGACGGCUCAUGCUUGGCUUUUUUAGCUGUUCUUACAGAAGAAUUGUUGUUCUGGAGCCGUAGCUGGAGGAGAAACUGCAUCUGAGCAGCUUGGACAUUGUUCUAAGCAGACAUGAACAGUCCUCACUUUCUGCCUUCUGCAUAACUACACUGCACGACUUUUAGCGUCACAUCUGAAGCCUAAGUACCACAGAGAGAGAAGUCAAGGUCCCCGUUGUGAGAUGGAAAGCACACAAGAGCCGUGAGACAGCGAGCGUUGUUGAUGCCAGGCUAUGGCGAUGCCAUCGAGCUGGGAGCGGAGCAGCCAUCACCACCAGUGAGAUAAGUGUCUAGUUUGCUGAAGACUCUGGUAACGGCACACCUGCCUCCAGGGUUGGACUGGUCAUUAAAUGUGGCUCGGUUUGUAGGAAAAGAUUCCUGACUAGCUGUGGUUACGAGGGAGACAAGGUUCCCGUUUUCAGAGGCUGGUCAUUUCUCCGUCCACAAGCAGUGUGUCCUACGCAGCAGAGGGUUGGACCCAGGGGGAUGACUCCAGCUAGUGAGUUUCUUGACUUCCUCCCACGUUUUUCUGUCUCUCUUCUAAUGUGUUGGCCAACACACACUCUGUCUGUCACUCUCUCUCUGUCCUUGCUUUUUCCUUGUGCUGUCUCCUUUUUUAGGACAUGGACAGGUGUGGUAGGUGUGCAUCCCCACAGGCUUGGUCUCGGGAGCUAUGAACAAGUAGGAAGGGACCGAAAUCAUGCAGGGUAGUGGGCACUAGAGUGCAACGGUGACUGUGGGUGUUGAUUGAGUCUCUGCUCUAGUGCAGCUGAAGCAGAUGUGAUGGGAGAGGGAGGCAGGGAUGAGGGCAAGAUUUCGUGCACCAAUUGAAUUUUGUGUCGUGAUGGCUUUUGCUUGGGUUACUUGCUGCAUUUGCAGAGGGAUCAUCCAGGAGCAGCAGCCAGAGGAGAAAUUGGCAGACAUGGACCUGAGCAGCCGGGACAUCCUUCUAAGCAGAGAUUAACAGGCCUCAACUUUCUACCUUCCACAUAACGGGGUGUGAGUAAGCGGUUAGAGCUUGGAAUUCCUCCUCUGUUGUCACUCCAGUUUUGUUCUUCGUAGGGUAUGUGGCUCUGUGGGAUUCAGAUGAGGGAAAGGCACAAGUCUCCUGUUCAGAGUGGCUGUUUUGCGUGUAGUUGCAACAGGCUUCUUUCUAGUUGUGGUCCUGAAGGUGUAAUGGAAAAAGGGUUAUGGGUGGAGGUCUGGGGUGUGGAAAAUGGGAGAAGAACCUAUGUAACGUUGCAGACUGAGAUGCUAACCUGUUUGUUUCCCCCCUUUGUGCUGGGUUAGUACCAAUAGAAAAGAAGUGGAGGGUCAGCGUCCGCUCCUCUCCUGCAAUGGAAAGCGAGUGAGAGCGAUGAGAUAGCAAGCAUUACUGAUGCCAGGUAAG
Mauremys mutica (yellowpond turtle) is the source of this 1916-nucleotide long non-coding RNA. RefSeq lists it as uncharacterized. The record is from RefSeq and is a predicted model, not a curated record. The transcript has 4 exons. Lineage: Eukaryota; Metazoa; Chordata; Testudines; Geoemydidae.